AGAGGAUGAUGUUGAAGCGAGCUCGGAAGCCCCGAGAAAGGGCCUGGCUUAUAUCCAUGUUAUGAAAGCGCUUGUUCCACCCCGCGUAUGGUUUGAUGAGAGAUGCGAAAACGGGGAUAUGCGCCGGCGGGACGCCACUUGAUCCUGCUCUGUGGGGAAAAUCCGAUCAAGGGCCGUCCUUGUUGCCCAAACACCCUAACGCUUGCCCACGAUACCAGCGAAGGAAAGCUAAUAGCCCUCCUGUGGCGUCCAUGAUCUUUUAACCCUUGUCCAAAUGACUGGCGGAAAACCUAGUAGCUAGCUCGGUAUUAGUCCAAGAAGCAUUGCAAAGCAACGGCCAAAUAUUGAAACUGUUGGACAUCUGAGUGGUUGGCAGAGGCAUACUGCAUAUACGUGCGAUGCGCUAAUGGAGCCAGCAGAAACGUUGCAAAAAUUACGGAGUACUGGGACCGAAUUGUCGGGUCCGAUACAAGUUUGUCUCCAACGGGUUGGGUUCUAAUGGCUCACGGUGUUAAAAUUGAUCUGCCGGCUUGAUCUUCAUGUCCACAGUACUACUCCGUAUGCAAGUACUGAUUGACCUGGUUUCUUCAGAACCUUCACAAGAAAGCAUAACUUUUCUUAUUCCUACUUAUCUCAACUAACUUACAAGUUACGCAAGCAGAGUUGAACUAGUUAACCAUGA
RNAcentral lists this small RNA (682 nucleotides) under Histoplasma ohiense. RNAcentral describes it as "hypothetical lncRNA". Lineage: Eukaryota; Fungi; Ascomycota; Eurotiomycetes; Onygenales; Ajellomycetaceae. The record is from RNAcentral.